AACUUUAUAGUCAUUAAUGAUAUUAGACUGCAAUUCUAAAGGAGUAGUUAGACUACUAAAGUAU
RNAcentral lists this transfer RNA (64 nucleotides) under Deflorita sp. ZJZ-2017. Its description in RNAcentral is "tRNA-Cys". The record is from RNAcentral. Lineage: Eukaryota; Metazoa; Arthropoda; Insecta; Orthoptera; Tettigoniidae.